This 253-nucleotide ribosomal RNA is filed under the name uncultured bacterium. Its description in RNAcentral is "partial 16S ribosomal RNA". It matches the Rfam family "Bacterial small subunit ribosomal RNA", at positions 524 to 776 of the family's 1533-position model. The record is from RNAcentral.
UACGUAGGGCGCAAGCGUUGUCCGGAAUUAUUGGGCGUAAAGAGCUCGUAGGCGGUUUGUCGCGUCUGCUGUGAAAACCUAAGGCUCAACCUUGGGCUUGCAGUGGGUACGGGCAGACUAGAGUGCGGUAGGGGUGACUGGAAUUCCUGGUGUAGCGGUGGAAUGCGCAGAUAUCAGGAGGAACACCGGUGGCGAAGGCGGGUCUCUGGACCGAUACUGACGCUGAGGCGCGAAAGCGUGGGGAGCAAACAGG